GGCCGAGUGGUGUAGUGGUUAUCACGUGGCAUUCACACUGCCAAGGUCGGGAGUUCAAUCCUCCCCUUGGUCA
Molecule: transfer RNA, 73 nt
Organism: Pseudomassariella vexata
Lineage: Eukaryota; Fungi; Ascomycota; Sordariomycetes; Amphisphaeriales; Pseudomassariaceae
Rfam family: tRNA
About the family: Transfer RNA (tRNA) molecules are approximately 80 nucleotides in length.
Source: Rfam